This 71-nucleotide transfer RNA is filed under the name Bos taurus (domestic cattle). It matches the Rfam family "tRNA". Rfam says of the family: Transfer RNA (tRNA) molecules are approximately 80 nucleotides in length. Their secondary structure includes four short double-helical elements and three loops (D, anti-codon, and T loops). Lineage: Eukaryota; Metazoa; Chordata; Mammalia; Artiodactyla; Bovidae. The record is from Rfam by way of RNAcentral.
UCCCUGGUGGCUCAGACGGUAAAGCAUCUGCCUACAAUGCAGAGAUCCAGGUUCGAUCCCUAGGUUGGGAA